GUGGGGAAUUUUGCGCAAUGCUCGUAAGAGUGACGCAGCGACGCCGCGUGAAUGACGAAGGCCUUCGGGUCGUAAAGUUCUUUCGACAGGGAAGAAAAUGCCUAUAAGUAACUGUGUAUGUAUUGACGGUACCUGUAUAAGCAGCCCCGGCUAACUCCGUGCCAGCAGCCGCGGUAAUACGGAGGGGGCGAGCGUUGUUCGGAGUGACUGGGCGUAAAGAGCACGUAGGCGGUGUUGUAAGUCAUUAGUCAAAGACUAGAGCUCAACUUUAGUAAGGCUAGUGAUACUAUAAUACUAGAGUAUCAGAGAGGAUUGCAGAAUUCCUGGUGUAGCGGUGAAAUGCGUAGAUAUCAGGAGGAAUACCGUUAGCGAAGGCGGCAAUCUGGCUGGAAACUGACGCUGAGGUGCGAAAGCGUGGGUAGCAAACAGGAUUAGAAACCCGUGUAGUCC
Molecule: ribosomal RNA, 450 nt
Filed under: uncultured bacterium
Lineage: Bacteria
Description: bacterial SSU rRNA
Rfam family: Bacterial small subunit ribosomal RNA
Source: RNAcentral